This 253-nucleotide ribosomal RNA is filed under the name uncultured bacterium. RNAcentral's name for it is "partial 16S ribosomal RNA". It matches the Rfam family "Bacterial small subunit ribosomal RNA", at positions 524 to 776 of the family's 1533-position model. The record is from RNAcentral.
UACGUAGGGGGCAAGCGUUGUCCGGAUUUACUGGGCGUAAAGAGCGCGCAGGCGGUCGUCCAAGUCGCGUGUGAAAGCCCCCGGCUCAACUGGGGAGGGUCACGCGAUACUGGUCGACUCGAAGGCAGGAGAGGGUAGUGGAAUUCCCGGUGUAGUGGUGAAAUGCGUAGAGAUCAUGAGGAAGACCAGUGGCGAAGGCGGGUCUCUGGACAGUUCCUGACACUGAGGCACGAAAGCCAGGGGAGCAAACGGG